Molecule: transfer RNA, 80 nt
Organism: Piromyces finnis
Lineage: Eukaryota; Fungi; Neocallimastigomycota; Neocallimastigomycetes; Neocallimastigales; Neocallimastigaceae
Rfam family: tRNA
About the family: Transfer RNA (tRNA) molecules are approximately 80 nucleotides in length. Their secondary structure includes four short double-helical elements and three loops (D, anti-codon, and T loops).
Source: Rfam
GCAAGUAUGGCCGAGCGGUCUAAGGCGCUACGUUCAGGUCGUAGUCAGUAAUGGCGCGGGUUCGAAUCCCGCUACUUGCA